This is a long non-coding RNA of Gasterosteus aculeatus aculeatus (three-spined stickleback), 8935 nucleotides long. Lineage: Eukaryota; Metazoa; Chordata; Actinopteri; Perciformes; Gasterosteidae. The record is from Ensembl.
GGAGGAAGAAGAGGGAGGGGCGGGGCUUGUGAGUGCGCCGAGCAUGUUGGGGCGAAAGAACUCACAUAAAUAACCCGUCAGAUAUAAAAACACACUUGGGGGGAUUUGAUGACAGAGAGAGUCAUUUUUAUUCUUAAAUAUUGGUGAAAAGCAGAAGGGGCCCUUUUCUCAUCCAGGUGUCAGAACCACAGGGGGUCCAGGGUCUGGUCCAGGUAGACCACCCGUCCGUGUGCCUGCUGACUACUACAAACCUCCCAUUCUCAGGUUGAGCUCUGUCACUAUUGUAGUUAUGAGCACAGCUAGCAAUGUUAGCUUGUAGCAGCCUAAACAAAAUAAUAAAACGCCUCAAUCUGUAAAUACAAUAUAUAUAUAUACAGUAUUUGUACACAAAUACUUGUAAUCACAUGUUAUUAUUGCAUUCAUACUCCCGUUUAUAAAUAUAUUCUUAUUCUUGUGUCCUGAGAUAGAUUUACCUCCAUGGGAUGAAUCAAGUUUGAGAUAGAAUUAGAUAGAACUGUAGAUAGAACUGUACCAAACAGAAGCUCACCAUCUCUUUAAAUAUCUCCAUGACAACAGACCAGGGGUCCGUUUCAAGUGUUACAGCUGUUCAGAGUCGGUUGACUCAGUUGAGCCGCGCAGCAUCACAGUAUGAAGGCAGCAUGAAUGGACGAGUUACCAUGACAACCACAAACAAUAUGUUCACCUGCAAGUAUUAAUGCAACGAACGGCGAGUAUGAACCCGUGAUCAGACAGAAAAGCAACACGCUGCUGCAGCAAAAAACAGAGGAACAGCGUAAGUUCCACUAUAGUGUUAAGUUAAUAUUUGAUGUACACUAAUCAUAAUCCAUACGCUUUACUAAUUCCCAGUGUUUGUUAGAAUGCACUACACACAGGCUGGAAAUACACACACAUGCUCAUAUUUAAUCGCUGGUAUAAACUGGCUCGAUGGUGUUGGACCUGUAAUGGGUUUUCUUCAGGUCCUGUGAGACUCCUCUUUAACGUCUCACUGGUUUGUGUCCAACAAAAAGGUUUAAAAGACGUCUCUCACGGUCUCUGCAUGCAGCAGCUUUACUGAUAUACAGGAAUUGUAAUUUAUUUUAGGAUUUCCCAAUUUGAUUGUCUGCAUUGAUGGAAUCACUGCUCAGUGGAUGAAGCCGACUGUGUGAACAGGAAGUGUUUUCACAGCAUCAACGUGCAGAUAAAAUGACCACAUGACUGUAACACGCCUCAUUCUCUGUACCAGCCACAUCAUAUGUGAUGCUGCAUACCUGAUAACUCCCCAGGUAACUGCACGGCUUCAUCCUUACAUGCACACACACACAGCUCACACCCAAAGACACAAAAGACACACACUGACUCACACACUUUUUUACAGUGUGGACUUUGUGUCCUCCCCCCGCAGGAAGAUAAGAGUUUAGCUCAGUAAUAAAUCCUUGUUCCUCCUCUCUGCUGGAGUUUGGCCUCUGUUCACAUACAAACACACACAGAUAAACACACACACACACACACAAACGCACACACAUGAACACGGCAACGAGCAGAACAUCUCUUAAUGGCUCGUCUUCAUUUCAGUGAAACCACAAACCUGAAAAUCCAACAAAAAACUGAAAAGAAACACAGCAAAGUACACAGAGGGGAGAGGAGACAAGGCGAAAAGAAGACAAAGACACAGUGAUAAAAGGAGAGGACACAAGGAGACAAGGAGACGUAGAACGUGUUAUUUUAGGGUUAAGGUCAAUAAAGGUUGGAAGUCGAGGCAUUAAAGUGACUUUUCACUAAACAGGGAGGAAGCUGACGCAGCGACAGAAACAGCUCUGUGUGUUUGUGUGUGUUUGUGUGUGUUUGUGUGUGUUCAAGGUGAAGACACACAAAGAAAUGUGGACUUUACAACAAACAUUACAUUGAGAAAUAUUUCCGUUUUGUGUUGAUCUUUCCUGAAUUUCUCUACUAUAUUUUGUAUAUUAAACUUUCAUUCUAUUUUUAUCUUGUUUAUUGUUUUAAUGUUUUCAAUUAAUGGAGUUUCUUGAAAACAAAAGACUUUAAUAGUCAGAAACUCCAACACAAAAUGGCCCAAGGGGCGAAAACGCACACAGGUACCAGGGAAGAAGGCAGGCAGGAACUCUAAACAUCCAGGACAAUAGACAAUGAUUCAAUGCUGGGGUUAUGUGCCUUGCCCAAGGACACAUGGACACACGGGUUAGCAAUGCACAGGAUUGAACCUCCAACCCUCUGAUUGGAGGAAGAUCUCCACUUCCUUUCCUUUUCCCUCCUGUUGUGAUGAUUUUAAUGGUUGUAUGUGGCGCACUUUGCAUGUGCAAUGCUCCUUUUCCUCUGGUUUCACAUCACUUCCUGGUCGACACCACCGCCGUCACAUGUCUACAAAAUGACACGUGUUCCAACAUUUUGGUAUUUCUACCUUUUAAAGAAAAACAUUGGGACUAAACACAUAUGAAGAAGACACGGAUCCACAAAGAAGAGGUUCCGAUGUCAUCAUAAGACCACGAGUGUCUGGUGAGUCUCCAUCAGCGCCCAGCUGACUGCUGGGAAUGACCCAUGGUCACCCUGCCACGGCCCAGCUGAUGAUGUCAUUGUGAUGUCACAGGGGAACCCGACCGCUUACAUUCCUGAUGUCUUAAGGCGGCCUGCUCUGGAGCCGGUUCAGGUCUUUGGAUUUGUUGCCAUGGUGUUUUUGCCAAACCUGCUUUGUGGAACCAAAAAUCCUGAUCAAUGUAAUCUUAUCCUGAAAAUAAUCCGGCUAACUCAGUUAGCGACGUACGAGGAACGGAGCCCAGGUCACAGAACCAGGACGAGGCUAACUUAGCUUAGCACAAACACUGGAAGCAGGUAGAGGCUGCUAGCCUAGCUAUAAAAAAACGUGCCACGACAUGUUGUAGUUUAGAACAGAACGGGACUCUAAUGGCGCGUUUCCACCGAGCGGUACGGUACGGGUCGGGUCGGUCCCCUUUUAUUUGUGUCUCCACUGCCAAAAGUUGAGAAUGGUACCAAAAAUCCAAACCGUACCGUACCACCUUUUGGGUUCCCUUCCGUUGGGGCACCUGGCACAGUUGUUUGGUACUAAAGGGCGGAGCUAGACUCACGGCAGAGCGUUGAUUGGUUGAAAGAGUGUCGUCAUUUGCGUGUGCCGCAAGGGGAAAGACAACACACAUGUAGCCUUUGCUCAAACAAAGAUUGUCGCCUCCUUGUGACAAACAGCCACAUGUGGAGAAGCAGGAACAGGAUCGGCUGUGCGUCCUCCAUCGUUGUUUGCGGUUAGCUUUCAGUUUUCUACUUUCCGUCAUAUACCACGCCUAUCAAGUGACGUCAUCACUACUUUCUGGAAUACACCACGCUUAUCAAGUAAGGGUACUGUUGGCGGUGGAAACGCCCGCCAAACCAUGGUUAACAGACCCGACCCGUACCGACCCGACCCGUACCGUAUCGCUCGGUGGAAACGCGCCAUUACUCUCGUCGGACUGAACUAAAGAGACCGUACCAAACGUCCUCAGUACACAGAACAAUAUGUUCAUCAUCUGACUUUGUAAAGCCACAACAUUUACUCUGAGUUGUAGAUUAAAAUAUAAAGAAUAGUAACAGUGAGCUGAUGAUAUUCGCUAUCAGCUGAAGCACAAACACGACUGAUGUGUAAUAACAAUAAUAACAACAGCCACCAGCUGAUCGCUUUCAUCAGACUGAAAACUGAGGUCAGACCACACCUUCGCCCCCCCAGGCAGGGCGGGAUGUUAUUGUCUCUGUGGUUACAGAGGAACGAAUCCGAUGAGCCUCCUGAACGCCAAGUCAUCAAUCAACACAAUCUGUCGGGUAAAUCCUGAGGGGGGGUCUUCACAACAAUCACGCGAGAAAAAAUCCUCCAAGCUGAGAACGUUUUUCAGAAGUUAUUUUGUUGAAGCCAUCAAUCCUCCAGUUUAAUAUUAAGUGUCAAAUGAAAUCAUUAAAACUUUGAAUAGUGCAGAUUAACUUUUGGGAUUCACUCUGAAUACCUUGAAGAAUACCAACGUGUAGGACAGCUGCUGAGCCUCUGAACACUUUUUACUUUUGAUAAACAGGAAAAUUACAUUACAAACUCUCAUCACAAAAAACACAAAGGUCUGUAAAAGUGUUUUAGUAUUCAAUAUCCAGAUAAAUAAUAUUUCAUCAAUAGACUCUGAUCAAUAACUCAUCUGUGUAGAGAUGUAGAGGAGGAACCUCGAGCCGAUCGAAGAAGGCGGUUCUGUGUGCUGAGCUCCUCCCCUUUAUUCAGAGCGCAUCACGUUUAUGCUAAUGCUAAUGCUAAUGCAUGUGAGUGGGCCUGUUGGUGCAUGUUAGUCAAUGUGAACAAGGCCUCGGCGCUCCUGUUAAGCCUUUGUUAGCUGCAGGUAGCUAAAGCAGGUAGUCUGGGACUCAAAUUGUCUCCAGGGGGGACUUCAUGUUGGACCUGUCCGUCUUCUGUGGACUUUGUGUGUUGGUUUAGAAGUCCGGGUCAUAAGGGAGAGGAGGUCAUUACCUGAUCUGAACUAGACCAAAAGUAUUGGAAACAGAAGCACCAGAGAAGAAGAGUUCAGCUUUGUGUUGAAGCUUCUUGUCCAUCACAGCCACCAUAGAGGAAGAACAUGUGUGACCAGACAAUGGAAAGAAGUCUGGAGUCAUUCUAUCAACUUUCUAUGAACUUCAAAGUGGUAUGAAGCUCUCUUUGAUAACCUCACGCUCCUCUAGAUGCCUCAUCCGUGACCUUUAGGAUGAAGCUGGUGAUGAGUCCUCUCGGUCUGCACUUGUAAUUCCAGCGCGAUGAAGGUGGGCGUCCCAGCUGGAGGCCGGAUCUCGGCUAGACCCGGAGGGUCUCUGAUCUGUAAGAGCAUUAAGACCUUUGUUGAGGAUCAGUGACGUCACAGCACCGGAUUGUUUGCCUCCUCCCAGCUCUUAGGUAACGGGCGUCACACACGUCACAUUCAGGUGCUCUUCUAACUCGAAGAAAACACGCAACUUCCUGUUUGGUGAGUCGUUGGCCAAGCGGCCCGGCCUCGUCCUGUAAGCCGAGCGCGGCUUGUUGCAGAACCAGCCGACCACAGGACGCCAUUGGAGAUCAACCGCCUCCAUCCCAGCGGGUUUCAAAACGCACUGAAGCAACAACGGCCGAGUUUCAACACGCCCAUCAGCUCAAAGACGUAGGACGACCUCUGACCUUUCACCACACGAGGCCCUUCUGACACGAGAGCUCAGUCUACACACACAAAUAGUUCUUAUGAGAAAGACGUUUGCUGAUAUGGAUUUGAACUUUAGAACUUCCCCUGUGGGGGGAACCUGAAGGAGACCAGGAUUUUGGAGUUUGGUGGCACUUUGUGACCACAAUGUUUUCACAUGAGGUGAAUCAUGUCUCUAAAUGUUGUUGCGUCGCGCUUAUUGAUUAUUACACACAGUAGUUUGUUCUACUGGAGGAGGAGAAAUGUCCUUUGACACCUAAAGUCAGAUGUUCUCUUCAACACUUCUAAAUAUGAACUGUGUCGGCUGAAGAAGAUCGAAGAGGGCUGUGCUGUGUGGGGAGAAGACUGAGACAGGGAGGUGAUCUAUAGGACAGACGCUUUGGUUAUGAGAGGAACCGAAAGAACCAGCAGAACCAAAGUGACCUAAUAAACCUAAAUAACCCAAAACAAAAUAACUUGAUGAAUCUAAAUAACUAGAAAGUCUCUAAAGAACCUAAACAACCAAAUUAUAAAAUACACCUCAAUAACCCAAAAACCUAAAGACCCUAAAGAGUGCGUGCGUGCGUGUGUGUGUGUGUGUGUGUGUGUGUGUGUGUGUGUGUGUGUGUGUGUGUCCGGGGGGAAAAGGGCAGGCAGGAACGAGGAACAUCCAGAACGAUUGACAAUGACGCGACAAGUGACAGGAGACACACACGGCUUAAAUACACCAGGGAGGUGCAGGUGAUUGGACACAGGUGGAAACAAUCAGACAAUCACAGGGGACGACAGGACCAGGCAGGAAGUGAAGUUACCCGGGGAGACAAGAAGCAGAAAACUACAAAAUAAGACAGGAAAUAAAACCACACGUGACAAAGGAUUAAAUAACAGUUUUAUAUGUCUACGUGUGUACGGAACCGUGGGGUUAAAUUAUUCGAUUCAAUUCAUUUCAUUUUGAUUAGUCCUCACAGGCCUUUACAGUCUGCACACACGGGACGUUCUCCGUCCACAAACCCUCACGUGGGCACAAGACAAACGUUCAUUCAAAACGUGCACAUAGUAACACAAUAUCACUGGCACACGUACACACUCACACUACUUCCAGUAGCUCUUGCUCUGAUAUGUAUUUAAGCAGAAAAGCAUAGUGUUUGUAGUUGUCUUAUUAGAUAUUACAUAAUUAUGUUAGAUUAAUAAAGGUAAAAUGAAUUGAACUUUAAAGACAUGACAUCCAGCCACAAUAUAAAGUUCCUGGGGCAUAAAUGCUUAAACCUUCCUCCACGGAUUUUUCCUGCUGUCAGGCCGACGUAGGAAAGGCCGAGUCAGUCACAUUCGCUGUAAAAUGACACAUCUGCUGGAGAAGAGGCAGCAGAAGCCUCUUGAGAACCAUUGUUGAUGGUCACAUUAGAGGAUUCUCUGUAUUUCAUCAAAUAUUGUAUUAUUCACACUACAUUUCACUUUGUAAUUGUACGGAUUUGUUCUUGUAGUUCUGAUGAAGUUCUGAUGAAGUUCUGAUGAAGUUCUGAGGGGCUCUUCUUGUCUCCACAACAAGGUUUUGCAUGAUAGAUGUGGAGUUUUCAGCUUUAGUUAAAGGCGGGUCAACGUGCUGCGACCCGACCAGGGCGCGUGGGAGGCGUGGCGCUACGCGGCGCCGUCUUACCUGCUACACGGGGGCGUAACCGCAGCAACACAACGAUGCGUCUCUUCAUUAUGGGCUCAGCCGGGUAAUUGUCUGUCGAGACAAAUGUCUUAUUUUGUCUUACAGACGAGUUUGCGUCUUCAGAUGUUUAACGGGUGACUGAAUGUGUCUGUGAUCGAUCGUAUGAACUUAAUGAAAUCUGUUUGAUUGACACCAAAAGGAUUCAGCAGCUGCCGUCACAGCGAGUCGUCAGUGAACACGGGGACCGAAUAAACCGAAACACCGGGUGCUUAUUUGGAAGUGAACUGCAGCAUAUAAAUGUUUAUAGCUGCACGCGAUCAAACUAACUCUGAAACAUCAGUGAAGGAGAACGUUUCAAAGUAACAGAGCAAACUAAAGCUCAUCCGUUUGUUCAAACUGAGCAUGUAGUAAAUGGCUGUGCCAGCCCCCCCAUAAGGGUCCUGCUGGAUUGGGUGAUGUCAUAGGAACGAAGAACACUCGUCCCCAUUGAAAAAGACAUCGAGAAAUCAGAGGAUGAUUUAUUUUGUGGUGAAUCAACUUCCCCCUCAGAACACAUGGAUAUAUGAAUUGUUGUUGGUACAUGUGAAGCCAGUUGGACAGGUCAGUGCUGGAUGCUGCGUCCCGUCUCCAGCUCUGCAGUCUUUCCACACGAUUUAUGUGCAGCGUGAACCUUCCCUCCAGCAACAGGGAGCUUUAGAGAUCAGGGGGCACCAGAACAGACCACGCAGAAAUUAAGCAACGUACAUUAAACGUGCGUCUUAUCUGAGCUGUAAAUCCGCUGGAGACACUGAGGUGUGGAAGACAGGAAGCUGCUGGACGUCCCAGAAACCCCCAAGUGAACCCUGAAAUGUGCUCCGCUCAUUUUAUACUGAAGAAAAUAUAAGCUCACUCAACGAGAAGCAAAACCAAUGCAACCGUGACUGGUACAAAAUGGAAGGGUUUGUUAUAUAAUGAGAGUAUAUCACUAUUAUAUAAAGGAUGCUAUGCAGCAAUGUGUCUAAUAAUAAUAAUGUUAGUAGCAGCAGGUGUCAGCAGGAGGAAGGACCAGAAUAUGACCACAAUCCAUGAAGAAGGGACUGACUUGCAUUAAUGGGACAUUAGAAGGAGACUUCUAGAUGAGAAGAAGAUGAGAGAGGAGCUGAGUGUCUCCUAGGAAGCCUCCUUACUAUAAACUGCAAACAACCUUUUUAAUUUGCAUCCUUGAUCUUACUGCGAGUCACAAUCCAGAGUCGGAUAUUCUAGAUUCUUCUGGCGCCAACAAAUGUUUCUUACGUGAACUUUAGUAAAACAGUGAAAGAGUCUCUAUUUUCUGGCUGCUCGAUUCUUCCGCGUUAUAAAAUAACAAAGUGAUGUGGUUCUGAAGAGCCGGAGUGAAUCAGCAAAAAGUCGACUCUACAGAAGAAGGAAGUGGUUACAAUACUUCCUCUUUCAGGUUUACCAACAGAGGAGAGUGAAACACGGGAUGGACAGCAGGGAGGACGGCGUCCGCCUCAACACCAGGAAGUAGAAACAACAAACAACCCUCAGCGUGGUGUUUGGCUGACGUGGAAUCCUCUUACGGACCAUGUGCCUCCUCGUCAUCCUCAGCACACAACGGAGAGCUCAGUGCUUUGUUAUGUAGGAGUUCAGACGAGGCUGUGAAGGCCUCCACCAGUUUACACACACAAAGAGCUUAAACCUCCAGUCAUCAUGAAGGCCUGUAGGCCACAAAAUACAAGACCUCAGAGUCCUGAGGUUCCUCCUCAAACCCUCAAGAGUCGGGGUCGGGGGGAGUAGAGCGGGUGCGCUGGGAACCGCAAGGUUGGUGGUUCAAGUCCCGGCUGCUCCAUGUCUCAAGUCGAAGUGUCCCUGAGCAAGACACCUGACCCCUAAAUGCUCCCCGGGCAAAAUGUGAAAAACGCUGCAGGUUUAAAGUGUAAGUCGCUUUGGAUAAAAGCGUCUGCUAAAUGACCUGUGAUGAAAAGAGUCCUGACCUUCCUCCUAAAGACCUCAGUGAAGGUGGAGCUGAUGAAAAUGACAACGGUGAAGAUGAAGAUGAGGGUGAUGAGGGCAAAGUUGAAGAUAAUGGAGCUGAUGAAGAUACAAAUGAUCAAGCUAAAUAUGAUGA